Lasiosphaeria miniovina is the source of this 91-nucleotide non-coding RNA. Lineage: Eukaryota; Fungi; Ascomycota; Sordariomycetes; Sordariales; Lasiosphaeriaceae. The record is from the annotation of a RefSeq genome assembly.
GCCCGCAUGGCCCAGGGGUAGAGCUAUUACUAGUAGAGACUUUCAACACUGUUUCAUGAUGAGGUCCUCAGUUCAAGUCUGAGUGUGGGCA